GACGAACGCUGGCGGCGUGCUUAACACAUGCAAGUCGAACGGUAAGGCCCUUCGGGGUACACGAGUGGCGAACGGGUGAGUAACACGUGGGUGAUCUGCCCUGCACUUCGGGAUAAGCCUGGGAAACUGGGUCUAAUACCGGAUAUGACCGCAUGCUUCACGGUGUGUGGUGGAAAGCUUUUGCGGUGUGGGAUGGGCCCGCGGCCUAUCAGCUUGUUGGUGGGGUAAUGGCCUACCAAGGCGACGACGGGUAGCCGGCCUGAGAGGGUGACCGGCCACACUGGGACUGAGAUACGGCCCAGACUCCUACGGGUGGCUG
RNAcentral lists this ribosomal RNA (319 nucleotides) under uncultured Actinomycetes bacterium. RNAcentral's name for it is "bacterial SSU rRNA". It matches the Rfam family "Bacterial small subunit ribosomal RNA", at positions 28 to 351 of the family's 1533-position model. The record is from RNAcentral. Lineage: Bacteria; Bacillati; Actinomycetota; Actinomycetes.